GAAGGGUUCCUGCAACCUGGAGCUUCCGUACUGAAAUGACAACCCUGUGGACCCCAAGGGAAAGAAGAAAGGAAGGGGUCACUGAGAGGGGUAUUGAUUUUGGCCACAUCAAUGUCAUAGAGUUUCUUCACGGCCUGUUUGAUCUGGCCUUGACAUCCACAAUGAACACCAGCGUGUUGACUGACUCAGUGGUCAGUGGGAAUUUGAUGACAGCAUAGUGGUCAAGCUCGUUUCUCCUGAGUGCACCCUUUCCAGGAUAUUUUGGCUGCCUCCGGAGCCUCAGUCUUGGGCCGGCGGAAGGUGGGUAACGUUCGGAUUUCCUUCUUUUGUGGCUGUGGACGCCUUUCAGCACCGCCUUCUUAGCUUUCAAGGCCUUCGCUUUGGCUUCAGGUCUGGG
Molecule: long non-coding RNA, 397 nt
Filed under: Rattus norvegicus (Norway rat)
Lineage: Eukaryota; Metazoa; Chordata; Mammalia; Rodentia; Muridae
Description: long non-coding RNA NONRATT033242
Source: RNAcentral